RNAcentral lists this ribosomal RNA (423 nucleotides) under uncultured microorganism. Its description in RNAcentral is "bacterial SSU rRNA". It matches the Rfam family "Bacterial small subunit ribosomal RNA", at positions 9 to 429 of the family's 1533-position model. The record is from RNAcentral.
GAGUUUGAUCAUGGCUCAGAUUGAACGCUGGCGGCAUGCCUUACACAUGCAAGUCGAACGGCAGCAUGAUCUAGCUUGCUAGAUUGAUGGCGAGUGGCGAACGGGUGAGUAAUACAUCGGAACGUGCCCUGUAGUGGGGGAUAACUAGUCGAAAGAUUAGCUAAUACCGCAUACGACCUGAGGGUGAAAGUGGGGGACCGCAAGGCCUCAUGCUAUAGGAGCGGCCGAUGUCUGAUUAGCUAGUUGGUGGGGUAAAGGGCCCACCAAGGCGACGAUCAGUAGCUGGUCUGAGAGGGCGAUCAGCCACACUGGGACUGAGACACGGGCCCAGACUCCUACGGGAGGCAGCAGUGGGGAAUUUUGGACAAUGGGCGAAAGCCUGAUCCAGCAAUGCCGCGUGUGUGAAGAAGGCCUGGUUGUAAG